UUUAAUAUGGCAGAAUAAAGUGCAAUGAAUUUAAGAUUCAUAAAUAAAGUUAUUUUUUAUUAAAA
RNAcentral lists this transfer RNA (65 nucleotides) under Hylaeus volcanicus. RNAcentral's name for it is "tRNA-Leu". The record is from RNAcentral. Lineage: Eukaryota; Metazoa; Arthropoda; Insecta; Hymenoptera; Colletidae.